UUCAUUUUCUGCAUAUUCCUUCUCCUUUGAUGUCUCCUUUGCUUUGCUGCUGCUAUUCUCCCCCUUAUCCCUACUUUAUUUUUCUUCUUUUGCAUUGCUUAGCUGAUCAUCUUGUGUUUUUGUAGGACUGCUACCUUCUUCUUAUGUACUGAUGCCUGAUAUUCCUCAGUAAGAACUUGGAAGUUGUUCUUGGUCUGGUCCAAUUUGAUGUAGCCAAGUCUACCACCAGAGGUUUUCCAACCACAAAAGCAAGUGAAAACACAGCAUCCUUUGCAAUGAAAUUGGGUGGAAGAUCAAGAAAGCUUAUCCAAGCUACUGCAAUAGAUGUCUCUUCAGAUGGUAUAAACCAUGGAUUCCAUAUCAAAGGCCUCAUCUGACAGAAUUUUGAGUGUACCUUAAUAUAAUAUGUUGGUUUAGCUAGAACUUUGAUGUAAUCUUCCAAUAAGUCUAGUCUAAUUAGCACAUGCCUCUCAUCCAUCAGACCAACUGUACAUGGACCUUUUACUGAACAUUGAUCUGGUAUUGCUGUUCUUA
Lycium ferocissimum is the source of this 534-nucleotide long non-coding RNA. RefSeq lists it as uncharacterized. NCBI's taxonomy places the organism in Eukaryota, Viridiplantae, Streptophyta, Magnoliopsida, Solanales, Solanaceae. The record is from RefSeq and is a predicted model, not a curated record. The transcript is spliced from 2 exons.